CACGUAGGGUGCGAGCGUUGUCCGGAAUUAUUGGGCGUAAAGAGCUCGUAGGCGGUUUGUCGCGUCUGCCGUGAAAGUCCGGGGCUCAACUCCAGAUCUGCGGUGGGUACGGGCAGACUAGAGUGAUGUAGGGGAGACUGGAAUUCCUGGUGUAGCGGUGAAAUGCGCAGAUAUCAGGAGGAACACCGAUGGCGAAGGCAGGUCUCUGGGCAUUAACUGACGCUGAGGAGCGAAAGCAUGGGGAGCGAACAGG
This 253-nucleotide ribosomal RNA is filed under the name uncultured bacterium. Its description in RNAcentral is "partial 16S ribosomal RNA". It matches the Rfam family "Bacterial small subunit ribosomal RNA", at positions 524 to 776 of the family's 1533-position model. The record is from RNAcentral.